This is a long non-coding RNA of Neodiprion virginianus, 363 nucleotides long. RefSeq lists it as uncharacterized. The transcript is spliced from 3 exons. NCBI's taxonomy places the organism in Eukaryota, Metazoa, Arthropoda, Insecta, Hymenoptera, Diprionidae. The record is from RefSeq and is a predicted model, not a curated record.
UAUGAAGCUCUUCUCGAUCUGUCUGUUCGUGGUAUUAUUCCUAUUCCAAGCUACGCUUGGUCUUCGAAUCGACAAUGCCGGACUUGAACGUCGUGAGACUUUUGGCGUUUCGUCGCGUCAUCAGCCUCCAGGAGGUCCUCCAGGACACGCAGGAGGUCCUCCGCCACCUCCGUCUCCACCUACCAAUGCGACAUCCAGUGGCUAGAAUAUGCUCCGUCUCGUCUCACCCCUGCUUUGGUUUCGAUCGAAAGACAAACGCGUGCAACGCUCUCACCGGAAACUGAUUAUAUUUUUUGAACGAAAAUUUCACAGCGCAAACUGCAUAUCUGCGUAACCUAGCAAUCGUAAUAAAGUUAAAUAUUA